This 896-nucleotide ribosomal RNA is filed under the name Hypomyces subiculosus. RNAcentral describes it as "LSU rRNA". It matches the Rfam family "Eukaryotic large subunit ribosomal RNA", at positions 38 to 964 of the family's 3401-position model. The record is from RNAcentral. Lineage: Eukaryota; Fungi; Ascomycota; Sordariomycetes; Hypocreales; Hypocreaceae.
GCAUAUCAAUAAGCGGAGGAAAAGAAACCAACAGGGAUUGCCCCAGUAACGGCGAGUGAAGCGGCAACAGCUCAAAUUUGAAAUCUGGCCCCCAGGGCCCGAGUUGUAAUUUGGAGAGGAUGCUUUUGGCGAGGCGCCGCCCGAGUUCCCUGGAACGGGACGCCGCAGAGGGUGAGAGCCCCGUCUGGCUGGCCGCCGAGCCUCUGUAAAGCUCCUUCGACGAGUCGAGUAGUUUGGGAAUGCUGCUCAAAAUGGGAGGUAUAUGUCUUCUAAAGCUAAAUACCGGCCAGAGACCGAUAGCGCACAAGUAGAGUGAUCGAAAGAUGAAAAGCACUUUGAAAAGAGGGUUAAACAGUACGUGAAAUUGUUGAAAGGGAAGCGCUCGUGACCAGACUUGGGCCUGGCGGAUCAUCCGGCGUUCUCGCCGGUGCACUUCGCCCGGCCCAGGCCAGCAUCAGUUCGCCCCGGGGGACAAAGGCGGCGGGAAUGUGGCUCCCCCGGGAGUGUUAUAGCCCGCCGCGCAAUGCCCUGGGGCGGACUGAGGUUCGCGCGUCCGCAAGGAUGCUGGCGUAAUGGUCACCAGCGACCCGUCUUGAAACACGGACCAAGGAGUCGUCCUCGUAUGCGAGUGUUCGGGUGUCAAACCCCUACGCGUAAUGAAAGUGAACGCAGGUGAGAGCUUCGGCGCAUCAUCGACCGAUCCUGAUGUUCUCGGAUGGAUUUGAGUAAGAGCAUACGGGGCCGGACCCGAAAGAAGGUGAACUAUGCCUGUAUAGGGUGAAGCCAGAGGAAACUCUGGUGGAGGCUCGCAGCGGUUCUGACGUGCAAAUCGAUCGUCAAAUAUGGGCAUGGGGGCGAAAGACUAAUCGAACCUUCUAGUAGCUGGUUUCCGCCGA